AUUGAACGCUGCGGCAGGCUUAACACAUGCAAGUCGAGCGAGCGGCGGACGGGUGAGUAAUGCUUAGGAAUCUGCCUGUUAGUGGGGGACAACAUCUCGAAAGGGAUGCUAAUACCGCAUACUAAUCGAUGAGCCUCAGUCGGAUUAGCUAGUUGGUGGGGUAAAGGCCUACCAAGGCGACGAUCUGUAGCUGGUCUGGGAGGAUGAUCCGACACAAUGGGACUUAGGCACGGCCCCGACGCCUACGGGAGGCAGGAGUGGGGAAUAUUUGACAAUGGGGGGAACCCUGGACCCGCCAUGCCGCGGGUGGGGAGAAGGCCUUAUGGUUGUAAAGCACUUUAAGCGAGGAGGCGGUACUCGCAGAAUAAGCACCGGCUAACUCUGUGCCAGCAGCCGCGGUAAUAC
RNAcentral lists this ribosomal RNA (405 nucleotides) under uncultured bacterium. RNAcentral describes it as "partial 16S ribosomal RNA". It matches the Rfam family "Bacterial small subunit ribosomal RNA", at positions 30 to 526 of the family's 1533-position model. The record is from RNAcentral.